RNAcentral lists this ribosomal RNA (477 nucleotides) under uncultured bacterium. Its description in RNAcentral is "bacterial SSU rRNA". It matches the Rfam family "Bacterial small subunit ribosomal RNA", at positions 365 to 832 of the family's 1533-position model. The record is from RNAcentral.
UUCGCAAUGCCCGAAAGGGUGACGAAGCGACGCCGCGUGUGGGAAGAAGGCCUUCGGGUUGUAAACCACUGUCGGGAGUUAAGAAAUGCAAGGAUAUUAAUAGUGUCUUUGUUUGACUAAGGCUCCGGAGGAAGCCACGGCUAACUCUGUGCCAGCAGCCGCGGUAAUACAGAGGCGGCAAGCGUUGUUCGGAAUUAUUGGGCGUAAAGAGCACGUAGGCGGCUGUGUAAGUCGGUUGUGAAAGCCUUCCGCUUAACGGAAGAACGGCAUCCGAUACUGCAUAGCUUGAGUGCGGGAGGGGAGAGUGGAACUUCUGGUGGAGCGGUGAAAUGCGUAGAUAUCAGAAGGAACACCGGCGGCGAAGGCGACUCUCUGGUCCGUAACUGACGCUGAGUGUGCGAAAGCUAGGGGAGCAAACGGGAUUAGAUACCCCGGUAGUCCUAGCCGUAAACGAUGGGCACUAAGUAGAGGGGUUUU